AACGAACGCUGGCGGCAUGCCUAACACAUGCAAGUCGAACGAGACCUUCGGGUCUAGUGGCGCACGGGUGCGUAACGCGUGGGAAUCUGCCCUUGGGUUCGGAAUAACAGUUAGAAAUGACUGCUAAUACCGGAUAAUGUCUUCGGACCAAAGAUUUAUCGCCCAGGGAUGAGCCCGCGUAGGAUUAGCUAGUUGGUGAGGUAAAGGCUCACCAAGGCGACGAUCCUUAGCUGGUCUGAGAGGAUGAUCAGCCACACUGGGACUGAGACACGGCCCAGACUCCUACGGGAGGCAGCAGUGGGGAAUAUUGGACAAUGGGCGAAAGCCUGAUCCAGCAAUGCCGCGUGAGUGAUGAAGGCCUUAGGGUUGUAAAGCUCUUUACCCGGGAUGAUAAUGACAGUACCGGGAGAAUAAGCCCGGCUAACUCCGUGCCAGCAGCC
This 440-nucleotide ribosomal RNA is filed under the name uncultured bacterium. RNAcentral describes it as "bacterial SSU rRNA". It matches the Rfam family "Bacterial small subunit ribosomal RNA", at positions 29 to 516 of the family's 1533-position model. The record is from RNAcentral.